GUCAGCAUGGCGUAGUGGUUUGAGUGUUGGACUGCAACUCUAUAGACCAGGGUUUGAAUCCCAAUUCGGCCA
This is a non-coding RNA of Phrynosoma platyrhinos (Desert horned lizard), 72 nucleotides long. NCBI's taxonomy places the organism in Eukaryota, Metazoa, Chordata, Lepidosauria, Squamata, Phrynosomatidae. The record is from the annotation of a GenBank genome assembly.